CUAGCUAUUAGUAAUUAAGUGUUUGGUGAGUCAAAAGUAUAAGCAGAUUUUCAUCUGCAUAGGGGUUGGUGCCCCUAAUCCCUGUGUUGUUCAAGGGUCAACUACUGUGAUAAUUCUGACACACGGAUAACAACAAACUUACAAAUUACAGAAAAAAUAAAAUUUUUGGUUUCACAAUUUAUGUAACACAAUAAAUAAUACUUGAUUAACAUGAUAACCUGAAAAAAAAAAAACAGGUAAUACGUAUUGAACUGACUAUAAAUUGAUCAGUAUUUUAUGCCCAUAAUCUCAACCCACUGCAUUGGGAAUAAUUAAAAUCACCAUUUUUUAGGUGAAAAAAAAACCCGGAGACACAGAGUCAUUGAAUAAUUUGCUCAGGAUCACAAAGGCAGAGAGGGGCAGAACUCGCAUUGUAUCCCACAAGGUCUGCUGCACUCUUAACCAUUAGACAUAAUAUAUGUAUUGCCUCAAAGAUUAUUGCAAGAGUUAAUGAAUACUUGGGUAAAGCACCUCUUCCCAUGUGACUGGCACAUGCAUUUACUAGUAAGUGCUCAAUGAAUGCUAGUUCUCUCCCCUGCUUCCUUGCCCACUUCCUUGUCUCCUGCCUUAGGGCCAAGCUGCGACAAGUGGGUGGAAGUCGCAGAGUUACUUUCAAUCCAGUGAAAGGAAGAACUUUCUGAUGAUGGAGUCCUCUGGCAGAGACCUCUGCUUUUGGGAGGGGAAGACAAGAGCCCAGCUGAUAGCCACUGGUGGCUGGACUCUUUCCUCAGUUCGGAGAAGUGAGAGAUCGCCAUGGGAGGGUUCGCUGGGAGCUCUUAGACCUUUGAGCAAAGAAUUCACUCAUUCACAGAGUCAUUCUUGAUCCUUCUCUCUCCCUUGUCCCUCCCAUACAAUUCAUCACCAGUUGUGUUGACUCUAUCCCCAAAUACUCCAUCAUUCCUCAGCCUCUCUUCAUCUUUAUAGCUACUACCUGCUCCGGCAUCUCUCCCUUGGACCUUGAGAUUGGCCACCUAAAGGAGAGUGUGAUGUUUCUGACCUUCCCUUGUCCCCCUUGUCCAUCCAUAGAGCCCUCUAUAGGGCCUUUCUAAAACAUUGUGAUUAUUUCCCACCUCAGCUCGGGACUUUCAGGGCCUUUCCAUGCCUGUAGAAAAGGUCUGAUGAGACCUACAGGGGUGAUUUUACUAGUCAUCCACAACCUCUUGGGGCCAUCAAAGGCUUCCCCCGGGCCUUUGCAUAUGCUGUUUUCUUUGCUUGGGACCCUUCACCCACCCUCUCUCUCUGGCUAACUUUUUCUCCUCUUUCCAAUCUCAGCUUGUACAUUUCUUCCUCUUGGCAGUUGUUCUUGACACCCUGUUCCUCCCUCCUUACUCCAGUUGGUGGGGUGAGUCCACCUUUCCCAUGUUGUCAGAGCCCCCACCUCUUAUUUCAGCUCUGGGGCCUAACCUGUGUCACAUACCACAGCUUUUCUUGAGUCCUCCAAGCACCAAGCCCCUGGCUAGACCCUGAGGAUGGAAGGAUAAAUGUGCCGUGUUCCAGGGCUUAGAGGGGCUUACCAUGAGAUAGUGAGGUGGGUCUAGGCCAGAUGGGAUAAUGUGUUGGCCAAGUUGAGCCAAGGUAUUCUGGGAAGGAGCACAGGGAAGACAGACCACCCAGCCUGAGAGGGUCUGGGAGGGCUUCCUGGAGGAAGAAGUGCUGAAGCAAGCUUUUAAGGUCUCAGUAGGAUUUAUGAGACCUUAAAGGGAAGGAGGGAAGUGGAUGCCCAGCUAGAAUCCCAAGUGAGCAAGGCAAACUGGGAAUUGCAGGAGGUCUGAGCUAAGACUGGUGUGAUCGCGCAGACAGCCGACUUGCUGGGUGAGCAGGAAAGGAUUCGUGGAGGCCCCCAGACUUCUAGAAGGGCACUAGGGGUUGGAGGUGCCUUUUGGAAGUAUACAGGGGGACUAGGUUCUGGGGGACAACGGGAUGAAGGGGUUAGGAGCCUGUUUGAUUUGGAGUCCCCAUAGGACCACCAUGCGGGAAAUUGCUUGGUGGAAAGGGCACUGGAGGUGGGGAGGCAGCACAGAUAAAGGCCAAGAGACCAGAGGGACCUGGGCAGGUGAGACAUUGAGAACAGCUGGCUGGGGCCUGGGGAAAGAGGAGGGAGGGGCUAGUGAUAAAGGCGGAUGGUCAGCUAGAGGAUGUGCCUGGGGCGACUGUACCAGAGAACUGAGAGCCAGAUACUGUACUAAAUGCUUUUUAAAUAUCACUUCUUAUCUUCCCAACAAUGCUGCACCAGCCUGUCUCACAGAUGGUAACAUGGAGGCUCCCAGGGGAUAAAGGACUUGCUCAAGACCAUACAGCUCCGGCUGGGGCCUGUGCACAGCAGGUGGGGACGCUGAGGCUCCGAGGUUGAAAGGCUUGUGUGGCUGGCUGGCUGGGAUAUAGAUCUGAAUCUGCCUGACUCCACAGACCAGUUAACUUUUUCAACACGGUCAUUAUCAAGUUCCUCACUGAGCGACCACCCACAUCACUGUCACCGCCAGCGUGGUCAUCAGCUUUACCAACGUCAUCAACGGAGACAUGAGCGCUGACAUCACUGUCAGCAUCCGCCUCAUCUGCGGCAUCCUGUUGGCGGCCCCAGGAUCACAGCAGCAGCGCGACAGUCUAACCGGUAACUAGACAGGCCUAAGUCCAGCCUUGUAAAGCACUGCCUCCUCACCUGGCAGUCUUCCUGGGUUUCUCAUUCAUUCCCAGACCCAUAGGACCACCUGUUGAUUCUCCUGUGACUCACCACCACGACUUCCCCUGCUGAGAAGAGCUUAUUUCUAGAGGACUACUUGCUAAGGUGUUGUCUGGGAGUGGAGAACCAUAGGCCAUAAUACAGUCGCCCCUGGCUAGUCCCUGUAGAGCUCUUACCACCUGAAGAGGGGACGAAACAAUAAAACUGCAAGGAGAGAAUCUGGUAGAGAAGUCCCAGGGGCAGUGACCUUCCAGGAGAGGCGCAGUCAGUCUGGGGAGAGUUCCCAGGGAGGGGGCAGGAAAGGAACCCCCAGAUUUUUCUGAUCUUUCUGAAUUUCGGUUCUUUCCAUUCUCUUGCUGGGGCCUGCUGUCCUUGGCUGAGGCCAUGCGGAAGCCAGAGGGUAAGAGAGCCAUUACACCAGCCCCCACAGGUCCUUCCAGGGCAGGCAACAGAGGGCAGGAGGGCAGGAGGGCAGAGAACAAUCCAGAGCACAGAUGAGGGGGAAGGGAGAUUAUAUGUCAGAACUGAGAUUUCUGAUGGGUAAGUUGAGAAAACUUUGAAUGUCACAAGUAGAAAGGUUCUCAGGGUCAAGCUGUUCACCUUAAUUUCACAGAUGAGAAAACAGAAGUGCAGAGUGGGUUCGUGCUGGUCCGAGACCACACAGUCAGGUGGAGUCAGAGAUGAGGCCGGAGUAAGUGCGAACUCCACAGUUGAUUAGUAAACUGGUUCUUUGGGACAGACUACCUAAUAAAUUACACAAGAGGAAUGCGGGUUUAAAUCUUACUGGCUACGCUGGCAUGCUUGAUAACUGGUGAGAUGCCCCAAUGGGGGUCGAUUUGCAAGGGGUGGUUGACAGUCCUCCAGGGAACAGAGUCCUCCAGAAGGCAGAGGCCACUAACAAUGCCACUAAUAAUGUUCACGCAGCUGUGAGUGACCUGAGAUCAGAAACGCGGCAUGGUGAUUAUUUUUCAAGGCCGUUCCUCACCUGGCUUCCUGGGCAUAUAUUUGAAUCCCCCAGAAAGCUGUGUGUGUGUGUCUGUUUUAUGGGUGCAAGGCUCUGAAGUAGAACCUGAAAGAACCGCUGUAAGACCCUCUUCCAAGCUGUGCUGCUUUGGGGCCCCAAAAGCAGCCCAUGACACAGAGAGGAAAACCCAUGCUCUCCUCACCGCAGACCUCACUUCGUUUCAGUUCUCUUUCCGUCAGUUUCCCUCCGCUCCUUUACGGAAAAUUAAAGCAAAUGUACGGUGCUUUACAAUUUUGAGACAUUCUUUUCUUACUCCCUCUAUUACCCCACAACAAGCCUGUGACUGAGCAAGGGCAGGGCUUAUUAUAUCCAACUGUCAGAAGAGGGGGUGAAUUCGGGAAGGCUGAAGAAUGGGCCAAGGGCACGCGGGCAGAAAGGGGCGGAACCGGACGGUGGGCGGGACCCCGAGGACCACACCCUUCCAGUGGCGCUGCAUUCGGUGCCCUGGACCUUCUCCUACUGUUUCUCUCCCCUUUCAGCUCAUCCCUCUGGUCUGAUAGGCUCGAAGCACUCCUUCAGGAACUUUCUGGCGUGCUCCUUGGUAUCAAGAGUGAGUACGCAGAGAUGUGCCUGUUGGCAGAGCCUCUGUCUCCACGGGGAGAGAAACAAACUGGGUGACUUUCCCCAUCUUGUACCAACCUAGGGGUUAUUUGCAGACAAUACAUGAAAAUUACAACACCAUAAGCCACUGAGAAAUCUUCCCUUGAACCGAUCAGAUUCUGACAUCUGCUUACUGUUUAAUUAUCUUCUGACUGAGGAAAUGGAAAAGUUGACGAAUAGUUUAACCCAACGAAGAGUCAGGUUCCUUGUCUUCCCCCCUUUGUGAGCAUGUUUGUAGAACCCUAAUCUGCCAACAUUGCCUCGUCUCUCUGGGACCCUGGCAAAAAACAUAGACAAAUAUUUAUAUUUCAUGAACUCAAGAUGGUUUUCAUACCGUUUUCAUGUUUAACUGAUUUCAAAUGAAUGACAAUGGUCCUUAAUGUGGUUACAAGAAUUUGCCAUUAAUUUUCACUUAAAAUUGGCUCCAACCGGUGUAUAUGCCUACACUGCACUCCAGUUCUUAAUGAUUUGGCUUCCAAAAACAUGGGCUGCUUCCCACUGGCUGAUUGGCACAACAGCUUCGUGGGGGCAUCACUCUCCUAUUAUAUGGGAACAAAAAUUAAGUUCAGAAUAUCACUCCUACUUUGGAACUCUGGGCGAAGGCCACAGGAGUGAGGCUGGCUCUGCACACCAGCCCAUCCGUAGCUGCCGGCUCCAGCUUCCGGCAGGAGGCAGGCCUGGGUUGCCAGGGCGCACACGAGUGUGGUUCAAAGUCUUCUAGCACUGAAAACACUUUCUGGUGUCUUUCUCCUUUGGCUUUUGCAAGCAGUGGGGUCUAUUCUAAGUUCUUUGUGAGGCUUCAAGUCUUCACCCCUGUUGGGAGCCGGGGCUAUGUCCCUUCCCCCACGUCUGAACGCAGCAUGGGAAAGCACAAGCUUGAGAGCAACCGGUGCAGUCCUUGGAAGUUAUCUGCUCACAAAAACAUAUC
Non-coding RNA from Manis javanica (Malayan pangolin), 5268 nucleotides. The record is from RefSeq and is a predicted model, not a curated record. NCBI's taxonomy places the organism in Eukaryota, Metazoa, Chordata, Mammalia, Pholidota, Manidae.